RNAcentral lists this ribosomal RNA (251 nucleotides) under uncultured prokaryote. RNAcentral's name for it is "partial 16S rRNA". It matches the Rfam family "Bacterial small subunit ribosomal RNA", at positions 525 to 775 of the family's 1533-position model. The record is from RNAcentral.
ACGGAGGGUGCAAGCGUUAUUCGGAUUUAUUGGGCGUAAAGAGCACGUAGGCGGCCAUCUAAGUCAGAUGUGAAAGCCCGGAGCUCAACUCCGGAAGUGCAUUUGAUACUGGAUGGCUUGAGUAUGGGAGAGGGAAGUGGAAUUCCUGGUGUAGAGGUGAAAUUCGUAGAUAUCAGGAGGAACAUCGGUGGCGAAGGCGACUUCCUGGACCAAUACUGACGCUCAGGUGCGAAGGCGUGGGGAGCAAACAG